GUGGAGGAAAUUUAUAGUCGAGACACCUACCGUCAGGUGUUAACUUAUCUAGUUCAGUACAUCACACUCAACAGCUUUCUGUAAACUCAGUCACAGGGUUAGAAAUGUCAUCCGCCAAAUACGUAAACAAUAAACUUGUAGGAACCGAUCAGCAUUUUUUAACAGUUUUGUUUAGUGUUUUUCGUUAUUAAAAAAACCGGUCAGGUGAGUCGAUGGCGUCGACAAUAUUAUUCCACCGGCCGAGAUGGCCAGCCGAGCCAGGGGAAGUUGGAGUUGGAGCUGUCAGUGGUCAAUUGAGACGCAGUAGCAGCAAAAGAAGGAUGAUUCUGGGAAAAGCAGUAAUCGGUUCCACUUUGAGGACGAGGAUCUUAAGCCAUGGUGCUAAAAGGGUGGCUUCAAAAAGCGAAGAAAAGAAAGAAGAAACGUUAUGAAAGUAAUGAACACAACAGAGAAGAAUCGCUAAGCAAGUAAAAAAUAAAUCUUCAAAAAAAAAAAGGAAAAUAACGAAAGGAAUCUGGUUACCGUUGAAUUUGAAUGGAAAUCAUCUGAUUUUAUGGAAAAGGCCAGACAAAGAGAAGCACUUUUAAGCUGAACUGAGAGUAGAUUCCGCACUUUAAGCAGCCCCACAUUCUACUUGGGUUGGAUCACAAGCUAUCUGAGGAAGUGUGAGCUGAUGCUAUCUGUACGACUUCGACCGUGCUGGGAUGCUGUUUUAAACCCAGAAAAAGCAAUGGAACCAUCUGGAGCAUUUGUCUUUUUAAUUAUAGU
Molecule: long non-coding RNA, 768 nt
Organism: Culex quinquefasciatus (southern house mosquito)
Lineage: Eukaryota; Metazoa; Arthropoda; Insecta; Diptera; Culicidae
Exons: 3
Source: RefSeq, a predicted model, not a curated record